GAUUCCUACGGGGCGCAGCAGUGGGGGAUAUUGCACAAUGGGGGGAACCCUGAUGCAGCGACGCCGCGUGGGUGAAGGAGCGCUUCGGCGCGUAAAGCCCUAUCGGCAGGGAAGAAGAUGACGGUACCUGACCAAGAAGCCCCGGCUAACUACGUGCCAGCAGCCGCGGUAAUACGUCGGGGGCAAGCGUUAUCCGGAUUUUCUGGGUGUAAAGGGGGCGCAGACGGCAAUGCAAGCCAGGAGCGAAAGCCCGGGGCCCAACCCCGGGACUGCCCUUGGGACUGCAUGGCUGGAGUACAGGAGGG
This 305-nucleotide ribosomal RNA is filed under the name uncultured bacterium. RNAcentral describes it as "bacterial SSU rRNA". It matches the Rfam family "Bacterial small subunit ribosomal RNA", at positions 334 to 656 of the family's 1533-position model. The record is from RNAcentral.